RNAcentral lists this long non-coding RNA (1955 nucleotides) under Triticum aestivum (bread wheat). RNAcentral describes it as "long non-coding RNA (TAES_LNC026927)". The record is from RNAcentral. Lineage: Eukaryota; Viridiplantae; Streptophyta; Magnoliopsida; Poales; Poaceae.
AAUAAUACUUCAACAUUGUCAGAUUCAAAACAUAUUGUGGGCUUGUGGUCUUUUUAAGCCCAUCUUUCCAUUGACCAAUUUUCACAUAAUAUUACAAGCUAACUAGUCUCUAAACAACAUGCAUAUUACAAAUCACAGUUACAUGCCCCAUGCAAAGUAACCCAAGCUACAUCACCAUCGGAUACAUCUUUUUUACUUUGUUGGUGUGACUCUUAGCUCCCACCUUCAUCAGAACUUGGAUUUUUUGUUGGAUGCCUUUCUCGUGACUUCUUGAAGGCAACUAAAGUUGUUCUGAUCCUCCAUUGUCCAUAUCAACUUCUUGAAAGAUGACUUACGAAUCAGCCUAUUAGAAAUAAAGACAUAAAUAUAACAUUAUGAAUGAGUUACAGAAAACCAUCUACCAUUGCAACAAAGAACGACAUGCAAGUAACUUGGAGCUCUAGGUUGGAACCUUAACAAAAACUACACAUUAGUAAUUGUCUAAUAAAGUAAUAAGUGAUAUGAUCAAAACUAAGCAUGUCGUAUUCAUGAGCAACAAAGGCCAUCUAAAAUAUUUGAUUGGAAUAAACACAUAUCAAUACAUUAGAAAAGAGAACUAUUGGUAAGAGGACACGCAUAAAUAAUAGCUCAACACAAAGUUUGAAAUCCCGAGAGGAACAAAUUAAAAUUUGUAGUAGGUACUCCUUCACAAAUUAAAAUGGUGCAAGAAAACAGAAUAUUCGACAAAGACUCGAAGGAAGAAACCUUCAAGCAACAUAGAACAGUGCAGAAAGCAUGAAAAACUUAGUGUGAUCAAUAAGAAACUUCCAUCUAAAAAUCAAUUACUUACAAUUACGCUAUGGUCACAGGCCUAAAAAGUUCGUUUAGGCUUUGAUCUUUAGUUGUAAACUUGUAAUAUAUCUGCUUACUUGGACAGUAAUCUGCAUUAACAUAUAGUCAGUAUGACUUCAGAUUGCCUAAAGGAGUUCAAUGAAUUAGUUCUCCAUUAGUAAUUUGCCAAAAUCAUGUCGAAUCGCUCAUUAAACUCCCACUACAGUUCAGCAACAGCAAUUCACUUGCAAAUCUCUUCACGUUCCCUCAAACAGAGUUACCACGAGAUCAGAACUACAAAAUAAUAUAACAAUACUGGGGGAGCAUCUGCAUAAUGAAAAUAUUAUACUGCAGCUAAUUAUUUAAUUACUAACCCAUUUCACAUGUACUAUCUAGGUUCUCAUGAUAAUUUCUCUAAAAGAACAUGGACAAUUCAGUUUACAAUUUUCAACUUAGUGACAUGUAUAAACUAGCUUCCAUAUUCUAGCUCAACACUACUGACAGUAUGGCACAAAAAAUGACUAUUUAACCUAGCAAAUAUUACUAUAGAAGCAUCUCACGAUUGACCAAUAAGAACUCACUAACAGGGAGGAACAAAACAAAAGUGAUAUCUGAACCAAUCCCCGCAUGUAAGCGGUUCAUCUAAACUGAGAGGGGAUAGCUGAGCGUCGUACACAUGUAACAUGUUAACCCAGCCACCCAGGUUGCCGGUCGAGCUUAACGGACCUCCCGCAGAACUCCGGCGUGCCCCAGUGGUCUGUGCUCAAUGUAAAUCUGACGGACAAAACCAAAGAAGAAGAAAAACAAAGGGUCAACGAGAUGUAUCUGAUAAGUGCGGAAGGUGGGACAACUACGUGAUGACUCAUUAGUUAAUCAUACCACAGUGGCGGUAGUCCCUACGAAGGUGAUGCGUAGGCGAACCCGGCGGUCAAGGAAGCCAUAGCCAGUACCCACAUCACCAUGACUCCUCUGUCCUCUCCCUCAUUUGCUCCGAUGGAUCUGAGAAGUGUAUGGAGUGGCACCAUAGAGUAAGAGUUCAGUGCCUGCAAUCACACGAGAGGGAUCGGAGGAUGCACACACGCAGGCACUCAACACUAAUAACACACGUCACGCACACAGGCUGGGCCGUGGCCGUGCAACCAGGC